This is a long non-coding RNA of Labeo rohita (rohu), 766 nucleotides long. RefSeq lists it as uncharacterized. Lineage: Eukaryota; Metazoa; Chordata; Actinopteri; Cypriniformes; Cyprinidae. The record is from RefSeq and is a predicted model, not a curated record. The transcript is spliced from 7 exons.
CCCUCGCGAUGUGGAGCAUAUGAGGAUGGGAAACAACGGAAUAAAGUGUUUAAUCUUACGCACAAAAUGUGUUUUGUAAUGUAAUGUCGUUUUAUAAUGAUAUUAAUGUGCUGUAUGCCGCUAAACUUUUCUCAAAUAUAUAUAAUUUUUUUACUCGCGAUGCGGAACAGACGAGAGCUGUGUACUCCUGAACUUCUUCCCAGAGAGAUAACGUUAUUUCCUUUCCUUGCAAUGUGGAGCAGACAGGGCAUUUAUCAAGGAAACACUAGAAAUUUGAAUUGCUAUGCAGUGUUGAUGUGGAGGUCGCUUUUAACAGGGAAACACUAGAAAUCUCAUUUGCAUUACAGUGCUAACGUAGAGAGCAAUAUUUUCAGAGCAAUAUGCGGAGCGGACAGGGAAGUUGGUUUUAUCAAGGAAAUGCCAAAAAUCUGAAUUGCUAUGCAGUGCUGAGGUGGAGGUCACUUUUAACAGGGAAACCCUAGGAAUAUUAAUUUCUAUGCAGUGCUGACGUGAAGGUCGCUAUAACAGUUUCUACAAUAUUUAAGGAUUAAUGUGCUUCUAACUGAUGCUGUGAUGAAGAUACAUCCCGGAACCAAAUACAUCUGGCCAAAUUGGUACAGCCUUGAACUGCAAAAUGGCAGAGCUCCGAACUGCAUCAGCAAAAAAAAACAACAAAAAAACAAAAAAAUUAAAGUAGUUGUCACUAUAUUGCCACUUGAUUGUUUUACUGUAACUUCAGCCAAAAAUAAAAAUGUUGUAUUAUUUA